GAUGAACGCUGGCGGCGUGCCUAACACAUGCAAGUCGAGCGAUCUCUUCGGAGAGAGCGGCGGACGGGCGAGUAACGCGUGGGUAACCUGCCCUGUACACACGGAUAACAUACCGUAAGGUAUGCUAAUACGGGAUAAUAUAUAAAAGUCGCAUGGCUUUUAUAUCAAAGCUUUUGCGGUACAGGAUGGACCCGCGUCUGAUUAGCUAGUUGGUAAGGUAACGGCUUACCAAGGCGACGAUCAGUAGCCGACCUGAGAGGGUGAUCGGCCACACUGGAACUGAGACACGGUCCAGGCUCCUACGGGAGGCAGCAGUGGGGAAUAUUGCACAAUGGGCGAAAGCCUGAUGCAGCAACGCCGCGUGAGCGAUGAAGGCCUUCGGGUCGUAAAGCUCUGUCCUCAAGGAAGAUAAUGACGGUACUUGAGGAGGAAGCCCCGGCUAACUACGUGCCAGCCGCCGCAGUAA
Molecule: ribosomal RNA, 466 nt
Filed under: uncultured bacterium
Lineage: Bacteria
Description: partial 16S ribosomal RNA
Rfam family: Bacterial small subunit ribosomal RNA
Source: RNAcentral